UACGUAGGGUGCGAGCGUUAAUCGGAAUUACUGGGCGUAAAGCGUGCGCAGGCGGCUUUGCAAGACAGAGGUGAAAUCCCCGGGCUCAACCUGGGAACUGCCUUUGUGACUGCAAGGCUAGAGUACGGCAGAGGGGGAUGGAAUUCCGCGUGUAGCAGUGAAAUGCGUAGAUAUGCGGAGGAACACCGAUGGCGAAGGCAAUCCCCUGGGCCUGUACUGACGCUCAUGCACGAAAGCGUGGGGAGCAAACAGGAUUAGAUA
RNAcentral lists this ribosomal RNA (261 nucleotides) under uncultured Burkholderiales bacterium. RNAcentral's name for it is "partial 16S ribosomal RNA". It matches the Rfam family "Bacterial small subunit ribosomal RNA", at positions 524 to 784 of the family's 1533-position model. The record is from RNAcentral. Lineage: Bacteria; Pseudomonadati; Pseudomonadota; Betaproteobacteria; Burkholderiales.